AAGUCGUAACAAGGUUUCCGUAGGUGAACCUGCGGAAGGAUCAUUACAGAGUUCAUGCCCGCGAGGGUAGACCUCCCACCCGUGUGUAUCGUUACUUUGUUGCUUUGGCGCGCCGCCCCCGGGCCUCGCGCGCGCGCCAGAGGCUCACCAAACUCUUUUUAUCAACGUCGUCUGAGCACUAUGUAAUAGUUAAAACUUUCAACAACGGAUCUCUUGGUUCUG
This 222-nucleotide unclassified non-coding RNA is filed under the name Monilinia linhartiana. RNAcentral describes it as "partial internal transcribed spacer region". The stretch from base 1 to 46 matches the Rfam family "Eukaryotic small subunit ribosomal RNA", at positions 1786 to 1831 of the family's 1831-position model. Lineage: Eukaryota; Fungi; Ascomycota; Leotiomycetes; Helotiales; Sclerotiniaceae. The record is from RNAcentral.